AUGAGGAUAACCGGGUUCUGUGC
This 23-nucleotide non-coding RNA is filed under the name Arabidopsis thaliana (thale cress). The record is from RNAcentral. Lineage: Eukaryota; Viridiplantae; Streptophyta; Magnoliopsida; Brassicales; Brassicaceae.